UUCAAAAAGAAUCUAGAAAGGUACUGAAGUUGAUGUGGUAUUUGACGACAAUAAAGAUGGAACAAGCCAAAACUGGUUAUAAAGCUUGAUAAACACAAGAGGUAUGCUAGUGUGCCACUAGGCCGAAGACCAUACUUGGGCCACAGAAAUUAGUAGGACGCACCAGCGUGCAUGUGUUUUUAAACAUAUAUCCAUUCCCAUUUGGCCAUCAUCAUAUAAGACAUACCUACGCCAUAAGCAGUCCUGGCAUAAGUUUAGAAUAACAUAACUUAUUCUGUCAAUCAGUGCUGGUGCCAUUUUUCUCAUACACCAUUAUAUAUAUUAUGUGGAUUAGGAGGCAUGAGGGAAGAAACAAUAUGGAUUGACCGUUCGUGAAUAUCCACCGAAUUUCGAGUGAGCAUAAAGCAUGAGACCAUGGCAAACUGUGUUGUGACCGGAUGCUCCUUGACCACCACGACACCAGACUGGUGGCCACUGGCCAGAAGUCACGCUGCAUGCAAGCUGCGGAGGACUACGGAGCUGUUUGGUUGCCAGCCCUAGUUUGCCACGUCAAAGGUGUGACGAGCCACAACCUUCUAAGCGUGUGUUUGCUUCCGUACUAAGGUCUGGCUCGCCACAACGAAUGAGGGAUUCUUCAAUAGAAAUUUUUGCCCAAGGUGUGGCGCUGGUUCUGUCCGCCACAGUUUCUAUGACGCGUCACAGGUGUGGCUGACACCUAAACUUAGGCGUGGUAAAUUAAGUCUGAAACCAAACAGGGCCUACAUACACAUGUGUGCACAUGCUCGUCGCUGGCGAGCCUGUCAAUGCUGAAGAGCUGAGCGGGGCACACACUGCAGAAGUCGUGCUGGUGCGUGCUACAGCGGGGCCGGUGCAUGUCGGACUACACAUACACAGUGUGCCUGCAUGCACCAGCGGCUCUGCUUAGGUGGCCGGUUUGUAUGAAGAGUUGAAGACAUGACAUUGUAGGUGGAGCCUGCUGUCUUCGACGACAAUGUGACAACAAGGGUGUUAGUGACAAUAGUGGAUACUAGCGGCCAGAGGCCCGUGGGAAGCUGAUGCAUCCGAUUUUUUUGGGUUAUUUUGUUGAAAUAAAAAGGAAUAAUGAAUCAGGAGAGGAGUUGAGCUAGUAUAAGUUUUUGUCUACCUAGAAGUUCCAUUCAGGUCUAACAGAUCAUGGACAUUUUCAUGAAUCAUU
This 1195-nucleotide long non-coding RNA is filed under the name Hordeum vulgare. RNAcentral's name for it is "long non-coding RNA (HVUL_LNC017314)". The record is from RNAcentral. Lineage: Eukaryota; Viridiplantae; Streptophyta; Magnoliopsida; Poales; Poaceae.